RNAcentral lists this transfer RNA (73 nucleotides) under Camelus bactrianus (Bactrian camel). It matches the Rfam family "tRNA". From Rfam's summary of the family: Transfer RNA (tRNA) molecules are approximately 80 nucleotides in length. Their secondary structure includes four short double-helical elements and three loops (D, anti-codon, and T loops). Further hydrogen bonds mediate the characteristic L-shaped molecular structure. tRNAs have two regions of fundamental functional importance: the anti-codon, which is responsible for specific mRNA codon recognition, and the 3' end, to which the tRNAs corresponding amino acid is attached (by aminoacyl-tRNA synthetases). tRNAs cope with the degeneracy of the genetic code in two manners: having more than one tRNA (with a specific anti-codon) for a particular amino acid; and 'wobble' base-pairing, i.e. permitting non-standard base-pairing at the 3rd anti-codon position. Lineage: Eukaryota; Metazoa; Chordata; Mammalia; Artiodactyla; Camelidae. The record is from Rfam by way of RNAcentral. RNAcentral also lists the same sequence under 2 other names.
GAGGGUGCAGCUGAAGUGGUAGAGUGCAUGCUUAGCAUGCAUGAGGUCCUGGGCUCAAUCCCCAGUACCUCCA